AGUUCAGGUGAUCUGGGUGUAACAUCACCCCAUUGAUCACAAGUGUUGUUUUGGCUACUAUGUCUGGCAAGGGAGGCACCCCUUCCAACCUUUUGGUUCCACGUGUAUCCCUCCUGAAGCUGAGAGCUCAAUUGAAGAGAACAACCUUCUUGGAGGGAAGAAGACUGUUAGUCAACCAAGAUAUACUGGCAGUUGUGCUAUAGUGCUAGAAGCUCCAGCUAAGGUCUCAAUAUAAAACAUUGAUUCUAAGAAAUAGUUACGUUAAAAAAUGAAAUGUUCUCCAGAUUAAUAUAUUGCUUU
Cebus imitator (Panamanian white-faced capuchin) is the source of this 300-nucleotide unclassified non-coding RNA. Its record names the gene 7SK. It matches the Rfam family "7SK RNA". Rfam says of the family: 7SK was discovered as an abundant small nuclear RNA in the mid-70s but a possible function has only recently been suggested. Two independent studies have found that 7SK RNA binds the CDK9/cyclin T complex (known as elongation factor P-TEFb). NCBI's taxonomy places the organism in Eukaryota, Metazoa, Chordata, Mammalia, Primates, Cebidae. The record is from Ensembl.